RNAcentral lists this ribosomal RNA (265 nucleotides) under uncultured bacterium. RNAcentral's name for it is "partial 16S ribosomal RNA". It matches the Rfam family "Bacterial small subunit ribosomal RNA", at positions 88 to 354 of the family's 1533-position model. The record is from RNAcentral.
AUGGCGACCGGCGCACGGGUGAGUAACCCGUAUCCAACCUGCCGAUGACUCGGGGAUAGCCUUUCGAAAGAAAGAUUAAUACCCGAUGGCAUAGUUCUUCCGCAUGGUAGAACUAUUAAAGAAUUUCGGUCAUCGAUGGGGAUGCGUUCCAUUAGCUUGUUGGCGGGGUAACGGCCCACCAAGGCAUCGAUGGAUAGGGGUUCUGAGAGGAAGGUCCCCCACAUUGGAACUGAGACACGGUCCAAACUCCUACGGAAGGCAGCAG